GGGUAUUUUUGACCUAAAAAUUUACAAAGAUUCUUCAUAAAUUAUAUACCUUAAUGGACAUUGGAGCAUACCCGAUGCUUGUAUGGAAGUGAACUUACAUGUGAUCGAGGCCAAGCAAUAACAUAAUCAAUAGUAAACCUUACUGUCUGGAUUGGAUUCUUUUCAUACAAUCUAAUAAGUCUCGCAUUGUCAAGAUUUGAAAUGCUGUCAUGAACAGAAACACCAACAUAUUGCUCUCCAAGCAUGCUUCCUCAAACCACAUAUGUGAUAUGUUUAUUCACUAAAGUUCCUUUGGCCACAACUUCACUUGUGUUUGUCGGAUUCUUCGAAAACAAUUACUUCAACCUUUUCCCUAUUAUUUCAAGAAAAAUCGCACUUAUUUCAGUACGAAUACGCAUGAAUGGACACACUAAUCAGGGAAUAUAAUUGACAGGUCUUUAUCAUGUAUAACAAAUGCACUAAAUCAUCAACCUUAUUAUGUACAUAUUGAUUCUAUCUGGUUCCUAGUUGUACCAUAUAAACUUCUAAAGUGAACUCUUUUCUAUGUCAGCUCCAGCAUUUUACAUAGUGGUCAUCAGUGAUAUUAUUACCAUGACAAAGAGGCGAACUCAUCUUAUCAUGUACUACAGAUUUCCAUGAUUAUCUCAUUUUGUUGCAUUAGGGUCACUUGCUACUGCUGUUGCUACUAGUUCAUGAGUACCAUUUAUUCUUUUGUGAAACUAGUAUUAGCAGUUCUUUGGAAAUAAAUAGUAUUAGCACAUGUAUUACGAAAAUCUUGGAAAUAAUUAUUUCCAUGAUGAUAUCAUGUUGCUUGUAAAAAAAAUAGCAGCAUGCAAAAUACCCUACUUGUACAAAACAGGACACUACGUUUCUUCUGACCUGUGGUUUGAAUAUACCUGGCUAGUGAACUGCUCGUCUUGGUAUGGUUGAUUCUGCACCUUGAUUAGCCCUAUCAAACUUUUCAAUGUGUGCCUCUACAGUUGAGGUUCCUUUCGGUUGUAAGUAAACUUGUACAAAAUAAAGGCAUUGUUUAAUAACGAAGCAGAAACUUCUAUACACGCAGACAUUGUUUGAUACCUUAGCAACGAUGUGUUCAUGUCGUAAAGACGAUCUGGUGUAACCCUCUUUGGCUCUCGCACAAUUGCUAGGAUGCAAUUCCUGCAACUUAUGAUGAACAAUUGUUUUUAAGUAUGAGAAAAAACUAGCGCUAACUUAGUAGUGAAGAAACUAUUUCAUCACCUGCAUAACAUUCUGUGGAGCAUCCACAUUGUCAGGUGCUUCUACAUGUGGUAGGUCACUGCCAACAACUCUUCUGCUGAACCUGAAACAAGAACACGAUAAUAAUAUAUUAAUACCCACACUUUUAUCUUCGGAGAAAGAGAUGUUGAUAUAC
Molecule: long non-coding RNA, 1393 nt
Filed under: Triticum aestivum (bread wheat)
Lineage: Eukaryota; Viridiplantae; Streptophyta; Magnoliopsida; Poales; Poaceae
Description: long non-coding RNA (TAES_LNC007488)
Source: RNAcentral